AAUGAACGCUUUCUUCCUUCCUUACACAUGCAAGUCGAACGGCAGCAUGACCUAGCUUGCUAGGUUGAUGGCGAGUGGCGAACGGGUGAGUAAUGCAUCGGAACGUGCCUUUUAGUGGGGGAUAACGUAGCGAAAGUUACGCUAAUACCGCAUAUUCUCUGAGGAGGAAAGCAGGGGACCUUCGGGCCUUGCGCUAGAAGAGCGGCCGAUGUCGGAUUAGCUAGUUGGUGAGGUAAAGGCUCACCAAGGCAACGAUCCGUAGCGGGUCUGAGAGGAUGAUCCGCCACACUGGGACUGAGACAAGGCCCAGACUCCUACGGGAGGCAGCAGUGGGGAAUUUUGGACAAUGGGCGCAAGCCUGAUCCAGCCAUGCCGCGUGAGUGAAGAAGGCCUUCGGGUUGUAAAGCUCUUUCGGCUGGGAAGAAAUCGCACCCUCUAAUACAGGGUGUGGAUGACGGUACCAGCAUAAGAAGCACCGGCUAACUACGUG
Molecule: ribosomal RNA, 490 nt
Filed under: uncultured bacterium
Lineage: Bacteria
Description: partial 16S ribosomal RNA
Rfam family: Bacterial small subunit ribosomal RNA
Source: RNAcentral